UGGGGAAUUUUGGACAAUGGGCGAAAGCCUGAUCCAGCCAUGCCGCGUGAGUGAAGAAGGCCUUCGGGUUGUAAAGCUCUUUUAGUCGGAAAGAAAGAGUUGCAAUGAAUAAUUGUGAUUUAUGACGGUACCGACAGAAAAAGCACCGGCUAACUACGUGCCAGCAGCCGCGGUAAUACGUAGGGUGCGAGCGUUAAUCGGAAUUACUGGGCGUAAAGGGUGCGCAGGCGGUCUUGCAAGUCAGAUGUGAAAGCCCCGGGCUUAACCUGGGAAUUGCGUUUGAAACUACAAGGCUAGAGUGCAGCAGAGGGGAGUGGAAUUCCAUGUGUAGCAGUGAAAUGCGUAGAGAUGUGGAAGAACACCGAUGGCGAAGGCAGCUCCCUGGGUUGACACUGACGCUCAUGCACGAAAGCGUGGGGAGCAAACAGGAUUAGAUACCCGUGUAGUCCCUGAGCGGGCUGGCAAGGCGCAU
Molecule: ribosomal RNA, 472 nt
Filed under: uncultured bacterium
Lineage: Bacteria
Description: bacterial SSU rRNA
Rfam family: Bacterial small subunit ribosomal RNA
Source: RNAcentral